GACGAACGCUGGCGGCGUGCCUAAUACAUGCAAGUAGAACGCUGAAGAGAGGAGCUUGCUCUUCUUGGAUGAGUUGCGAACGGGUGAGUAACGCGUAGGUAACCUGCCUUGUAGCGGGGGAUAACUAUUGGAAACGAUAGCUAAUACCGCAUAACAAUGGAUGACACAUGUCAUUUAUUUGAAAGGGGCAAUUGCUCCACUACAAGAUGGACCUGCGUUGUAUUAGCUAGUAGGUGAGGUAAUGGCUCACCUAGGCGACGUUACAUAGCCGACCUGAGAGGGUGAUCGGCCACACUGGGACUGAGACACGGCCCAGACUCCUACGGGAGGCAGCAGUAGGGAAUCUUCGGCAAUGGGGGCAACCCUGACCGAGCAACGCCGCGUGAGUGAAGAAGGUUGUCGGAUCGUAAAGCUCUGUUGUAAGUCAAGAACGGGUGUGAGAGUGGAAAGUUCACACUGUGACGGUAGCUUACCAGAAAGGGACGGCUAACUACGUG
RNAcentral lists this ribosomal RNA (497 nucleotides) under uncultured bacterium. RNAcentral describes it as "partial 16S ribosomal RNA". It matches the Rfam family "Bacterial small subunit ribosomal RNA", at positions 28 to 507 of the family's 1533-position model. The record is from RNAcentral.